GGGGCCAUACUGCAACCGGUACUGCAACAGCCCCUCACGACCGCUCACGAUGACGACCUCUGGGCACCGUCGAGGGCAGUAGAUGUGCCCCCGAUCGUGUGCCCGAGGGUUCUGAUAAGGAAGAGGUCCCAGGUUCAAGUCCUGGUAGCCCCA
This 153-nucleotide transfer RNA is filed under the name Thermocatellispora tengchongensis. Its description in RNAcentral is "tRNA-Leu". The record is from RNAcentral. Lineage: Bacteria; Bacillati; Actinomycetota; Actinomycetes; Streptosporangiales; Streptosporangiaceae.